This 762-nucleotide long non-coding RNA is filed under the name Homo sapiens (human). Its description in RNAcentral is "STARD13 antisense RNA". The record is from RNAcentral. Lineage: Eukaryota; Metazoa; Chordata; Mammalia; Primates; Hominidae.
GAGCUCUGUGGGCCCCAGGUGCCCCGGGAAAACUUGGGGGAGAAUGGGCAUCCCACCCCAGCACUUUCUAGGAAGAAGGGCAGCAUUUUGAAGGGCUGGAAGUAGAGGAAGGAGGUUGCGGGUAGAAGACUCCAUACUUUCUGUGACGCCUAUUCCUUAGGUAGGAACUUAGGAACCUCAGGAAUCAAGGCUAUCUGUAAUCACAGGGCUAUUUGAAAAAGAGAAGAAAAGGUGUCUUGAAAUUCAACCAACAUGUUUCAAUUAUUUGCUCCUAAGAACAACAGAAGUUUCAACAUUCUGCCAACAGAGUAACUCCUGGAAGAUUGGCACAGAAGAAGGCACAAGGAGAGCCUUUAUAUAACCAAAGAUAUUUUUGGACCAUGAAUUCAGAAAUUCUCGGAGCCACCCAUCAGUGCCUGAGCUUCAGUGAGUCCAUAUCCCAUGUCACCCACGGCAAAGGAGACUCUAAGACUUCUGAAGAGUUUCUUGCUUCUUUCCUGUGGGGCAGUGACUCCACUUCCCAGCAGUAAUGGAAUAUCCUGAAUUAGCUACAUUAAUGUUAGAACCAUUUGGACCUCACCCAGGACUUCAACUACAUUAUGCUAAAGUUACAGAACCCAAAUUUGGCAACUGUCUGCAUCUGAACAACAGAAGUUUCAACAUUCUGCCAACAGAGUAACUCCUGGACGAUUGGCACAGAAGAAGGCACAAGGCAAAUACCCAUCUCUGUACACCCUGUGCUACUGUGUCAUGUGCUGCUCC